GGCAGCGAGUAGAUUGCUUGCAAUCUACGUCGGCGACCGGCGCACGGGUGCGUAACGCGUAUGCAACCUACCCAUUACAGGGGGAUAACACUGAGAAAUCGGUACUAAUACCCCAUAACAUCCAGGGAGGCAUCUUCUUGGGUUGAAAACUCCGGUGGUAAUGGAUGGGCAUGCGUUGUAUUAGUUAGUUGGUGGGGUAACGGCUCACCAAGACGACGAUACAUAGGGGGACUGAGAGGUUAACCCCCCACAUUGGUACUGAGACACGGACCAAACUCCUACGGGAGGCAGCAGUGAGGAAUAUUGGUCAAUGGACGCAAGUCUGAACCAGCCAUGCCGCGUGCAGGAAGACGGCUCUAUGAGUUGUAAACUGCUUUUGUACGAGGGUAAACGCAGAUACGUGUAUCUGUCUGAAAGUAUCGUACGAAUAAGGAUCGGCUAACUCCGUGCCAGCAGCCGCGGUAAUACGGAGGAUUCAAGCGUUAUCCGGAUUUAUUGGGUUUAAAGGGUGCGUAGGCGGUCGGAUAAGUUAGAGGUGAAAUCCCGGGGCUCAACUUCGGAAUUGCCUCUGAUACUGUUCGGCUAGAGAGUAGUUGCGGUAGGCGGAAUGUAUGGUGUAGCGGUGAAAUGCUUAGAGAUCAUACAGAACACCGAUUGCGAAGGCAGCUUACCAAGCUACUUCUGACGUUGAGGCACGAAAGCGUGGGGAGCAAACAGGAUUAGAUACCCUGGUAGUCCACGCAGUAAACGAUGAUAACUCGUUGUCGGCGAUACAAUGUCGGUGACUAAGCGAAAGCGAUAAGUUAUCCACCUGGGGAGUACGUUCGCAAGAAUGAAACUCAAA
Molecule: ribosomal RNA, 844 nt
Filed under: uncultured bacterium
Lineage: Bacteria
Description: bacterial SSU rRNA
Rfam family: Bacterial small subunit ribosomal RNA
Source: RNAcentral